AGUGAGCGGAGAUUAGAUGUUUCAUUGNGNAUCCUUAGCGGCGGACGGGUGANUAACACGUGGGUAACCUGCCUCAAAGUGGGGGAUAGCCUUUCNAAAGGAAGAUUAAUACCGCANAAGCCUCCNGUGCCGCAUGGCGCUGAAGGAAAAGGAGCAAUUCNCUUUGAGAUGGACCCGCGGCGCAUCUAGCUAGUUGGUGAGGUAACGGCUCACCAAGGCCACGAUGCGUAGCCUACCUGAGAGGGUGAUCGGCCACAUUGGAACUGAGACACGGUCCAGACUCCUACGGGAGGCAGCAGUGGGGAAUAUUGCACAAUGGGCGAAAGCCUGAUGCANCAACGCCGCGUGAGUGAUGAAGGCCUUCGGGUCGUAAAGCUCUUUGAUCANGGAUGAUAAUGACAGUACCUGAAAAACAAGCCACGGCUAACUACGUGCCANCAGCCGCGGUAAUACGUAGGUGGCGAGCGUUGUCCGGAAUUACUGGGCGUAAAGGAUGCGUAGGUGGAUAUUUAAGUGGGAUGUGAAAUCCCCGGGCUCAACCCGGGAACUGCAUUCCAAACUGGGUAUCUNNAGUGCAGGANAGGAAAGCGGAAUUCCUAGUGUAGCGGUGAAAUGCGUAGAUAUUAGGAGGAACACCAGUGGCGAAGGCGGCUUUCUGGACUGUAACUGACACUGAGGCAUGAAAGCGUGGGUAGCAAACAGGAUUAGAUACCCUGGUAGUCCACGCCGUAAACGAUGGGUACUAGGUGUAGGAGGUAUCGACCCCUUCUGUGCCGCCGUUAACACAAUAAGUACCCCGCCUGGGGAGUACGGUCGCAAGACUAAAACUCAAAGGAAUUGACGGGGGCCCGCACAAGCAGCGGAGCAUGUGGUUUAAUUCGAAGCAACGCGAAGAACCUUACCUAGACUUGACAUCUCCUGAAUUACCCUUAAUCGGGGAAGCCCUUCGGGGCAGGAAGACAGGUGGUGCAUGGUUGUNGUCAGCUCGUGUCGUGAGAUGUUGGGUUAAGUCCCGCAACGAGCGCAACCCUUAUUUUUAGUUGCUACCAUUUNGUUGAGCACUCUAAAGAGACUGCCCGGGUUAACCGGGAGGAAGGUGGGGAUGACGUCAAAUCAUCAUGCCCCUUAUGUNUAGGGCUACACACGUGCUACAAUGGUGAGAACAAAGAGACGCAAGACCGCGAGGUGGAGCCAAUCUCACAAAACUCAUCCCAGUUCGGAUUGCAGGCUGAAAUCUCGCCUGCAUGAAUGCCGGAGUUGCUNUGUAAUCGCGAAUCAGCAUGUCGCGGUGAAUACGUUCCCGGGCCUUGUACACACCGCCCGUCACACCAUGAGAGUUGGCAAUACCCGAAGUCCGUGG
Molecule: ribosomal RNA, 1360 nt
Filed under: uncultured Clostridium sp.
Lineage: Bacteria; Bacillati; Bacillota; Clostridia; Eubacteriales; Clostridiaceae
Description: bacterial SSU rRNA
Rfam family: Bacterial small subunit ribosomal RNA
Source: RNAcentral